AAUAGAUACCCAGGUAGUCCACGCCGUAAACGAUGGAUACUAGCUGUUUGAGCGCAAGUUUGAGUGGCUAAGCGAAAGUGAUAAGUAUCCCACCUGGGGAGUACGGGCGCAAGCCUGAAACUCAAAGGAAUUGACGGGGGCCCGCACAAGCGGUGGAGCAUGUGGUUUAAUUCGAUGAUACGCGAGGAACCUUACCAGGGCUUAAAUGUAGAUUGACGUAUUUGGAAACAGAUAUUUCUUCAGACAAUUUACAAGGUGCUGCAUGGUUGUCGUCAGCUCGUGCCGUGAGGUGUCAGGUUAAGUCCUAUAACGAGCGCAACCCCUGUUGUUAGUUGCCAACGAGUAAUGUCGGGAACUCUAGCAAGACUGCCAGUGUAAACUGUGAGGAAGGUGGGGAUGACGUCAAAUCAUCACGGCCCUUACGUCCUGGGCCACACACGUGCUACAAUGGCCGGUACAGAGAGCAGCCACUUAGCGAUAAGGAGCGAAUCUAUAAAGCCGGUCACAGUUCGGA
RNAcentral lists this ribosomal RNA (514 nucleotides) under uncultured bacterium. RNAcentral's name for it is "bacterial SSU rRNA". It matches the Rfam family "Bacterial small subunit ribosomal RNA", at positions 777 to 1297 of the family's 1533-position model. The record is from RNAcentral.